This is a non-coding RNA of Pelobates cultripes (western spadefoot toad), 261 nucleotides long. The record is from the annotation of a GenBank genome assembly. NCBI's taxonomy places the organism in Eukaryota, Metazoa, Chordata, Amphibia, Anura, Pelobatidae.
UAUAGUGUCCAGCAUUAAAGGUUAAUAGUGUCCUCAUAAGCUACCUUGCAUAAGUCACUGGUCCAGCUGUACUUGAGCUGAGAACUGUUCUGGUUUCCAACAAGGAUUUUUUUUAACUCAGACUUGCAUAAGGCACUUCAUAUGACACUUCCUUUUUGUUACAUUAAUUUUUUUUUUUGGUUUUAGGUCAGACUUGGUCUGAACGACUUGACUGGCUGGCAUAGCAGGAAGUCCCCAUGGCCCUUUUUUGAGCCUGUAACC